RNAcentral lists this ribosomal RNA (274 nucleotides) under uncultured bacterium. RNAcentral's name for it is "partial 16S ribosomal RNA". It matches the Rfam family "Bacterial small subunit ribosomal RNA", at positions 523 to 796 of the family's 1533-position model. The record is from RNAcentral.
AUACGGAGGGCGCAAGCGUUGUUCGGAAUCAUUGGGCGUAAAGCGCGUGUAGGCGGCUUGGCAAGUCGGACGUGAAAGCCCGGGGCUCAACCCCGGAACGGCGCCCGAAACUGCCUGGCUAGAGUCCCGGAGAGGAGGGCGGAAUUCCCGGUGUAGAGGUGAAAUUCGUAGAUAUCGGGAGGAACACCAGUGGCGAAGGCGGCCAUCUGGACGGUGACUGACGCUGAGACGCGAAAGCGUGGGGAGCAAACAGGAUUAGAAACCCCGGUAGUCC